Pelobates cultripes (western spadefoot toad) is the source of this 326-nucleotide non-coding RNA. The record is from the annotation of a GenBank genome assembly. Lineage: Eukaryota; Metazoa; Chordata; Amphibia; Anura; Pelobatidae.
AGUCAGUCUAUUGUCAUAACCUAGACAUCUUAAUCUUUGUUUGGACUAAAACGUACGGUUGACCAUGACAUACACAAGGCCCUGACUUGGUGCUACUCUGACCUAGGACAAAAUGGCUAAUUUAAUACAAAAAACAACUGUCUCUUGGCAGAGAUAGUGAGUGAUACUCUAAAGUGCCUAAACAGAAGAAGCGGCUCAACACAAAUAGUGGAAUACCCUUAUCCACAAUAGAACACAAAUAUUACAAAAAAAGGUAUAGACUUUAUAACAACGGGUGGAGCGCUAUAUUAAGUGUAAAAUAUAAGUACGGUAUAAAACCAUCUGCA